AAUAGAUACCCCAGGUAGUCCACGCCGUAAACGAUGAGUGCUAAGUGUUAGGGGGUUUCCACCCCUUAGUGCUGCAGCUAACGCAUUAAGCACUCCGCCUGGGGAGUACGGUCGCAAGACUGAAACUCAAAGGAAUUGACGGGGGCCCGCACAAGCGGUGGAGCAUGUGGUUUAAUUCGAGGCAACGCGAAGAACCUUACCAGGUCUUGACAUCCCAUUGACCGCUAUGGAGACAUAGCUUUCCCUUCGGGGACAGUGGUGACAGGUGGUGCAUGGUUGUCGUCAGCUCGUGUCGUGAGAUGUUGGGUUAAGUCCCGCAACGAGCGCAACCCUUGUUCUUAGUUGCCAUCAUUUAGUUGGGCACUCUAAGGAGACUGCCGGUGACAAACCGGAGGAAGGUGGGGAUGACGUCAAAUCAUCAUGCCCCUUAUGACCUGGGCUACACACGUGCUACAAUGGACGGUACAAACGGUUGCCAACCCGCGAGGGGGAGCUAAUCCGGAUAAAACCGUUCUCAGUUCGGAUUGUAGGCUGCAACUCGCCUAC
Molecule: ribosomal RNA, 546 nt
Filed under: uncultured bacterium
Lineage: Bacteria
Description: bacterial SSU rRNA
Rfam family: Bacterial small subunit ribosomal RNA
Source: RNAcentral